ACUUAACAAAGUCAUGUUAUUUAUUAAUCGAGAAACAGAAGCAGUUAUAUUUUACUAGUACUAUUAGAAGUCGAGGAAUUAUUCCGACUGCAACGCAGAUUAAAUCUACGGAUUUAAUUUAAGUUAUAUUACAGUUUAUCAAGUUAGCAGGUAAGGAAAAAGAUAUCAAGCAGAUACAGAAAUACGAUGAUUUAAAAUCGAAGCCAGUAUUUAUUUACAGUUCACAGAUUACAGUCUAGUUCCCAGCUUGGGGAAAAUCGUCUAAUAUAUUACAAAGGAUUGGACUCUACGUGGCUCACUUAAUGCCUUCACUCAAGUGUAGGCACAUUAGUCAAUAAGAGAUAAAAUUCAAAAGUAGAGAAUGGAGAGGAAAGAGCCGACCACCAACUCCAUUCCACCACCAUUUGCUUCCCCACCACUACACCUACUCUUCCACUUCACUACCAACUAUCCCCAUUAUGUAAUCACCACCAACUCCACUCAAUUGGCACCAACGUUCCACCACGAAAGAGAGAGUUUAAAAAAAAACAAAAUGUUGCAAAGCAAGAUAAAAGAAAAGGAAAAGUGUGCACUACAAUCCUUUGCCCACCACCUUUUGCUUUCCUCCACUACAUUCUCCCCACCAUCUUCGAUUCUUGAAGGCUACUAGCCAACACUUCUUCAAGCAAACAAUUCAGCAGCAACCUUCCUCCAUUCACCUCCAUUCAUUCCUUCUCUCAUACACUAAGCACCAGAAAGGGAGAUGAAGAGAAGUUAAUUCCUGCUGCCAAGUAUCGAGAGUUCCUUCCCCAUUGAAUUCAUUAUCAACAACAGCAGCUACCAACACAAAAUACUCAAGGUCAAGCGCGAGAGUAAGAACUACACAAGGAGUUAGAGUACCUUAGCAAAACUUUGCUAUCAGGUUGAGCUGUGAUGGGCGAUGAAGUGUUGUUGCUGAGUGGAGUUUUUGUCGAACUUAAAGUAGGCUCAGAAAGGAUACAUGUCUUCAUACAUGUAUCACAGUUAUGCUUUCCGCUGUAAACACUGAUUAUUUCAGUUACGCCUUCCGUUGCAAACUCUGAUAAUGUUUUAGCCAAGCCCCUAAUGAUGCCUUUUUCCUUUUUAAGGAAUAUAACGCGUAUACAAGUUCUUUGAGUACCCUUUUUAUGCGAACUAUGCCUUUUUCCUUUUUAAGGAAUAUUUCACGCGUAUUCAAGCUCUUUGAGUAUUCUUUUAUGCACCCCUUUCUAAACCCGCUUCUUAAUUUCCCUUCCCCAGUCAUGGUUUUCCCGGAUUAAUUAUCCUUAAUUAAGGCCGGUCGUGACAGAGUGGUAUCAGAGCAGUUCGUUUGCUCUGAGCCUAAGAGUUUAUUUAAGCCAAACUUAGAAUGGAUCACUAAAGUGUCUAGAGUUCAAUCGACAAAGCUCAGCACUUCAUCGCAUCACACUCAACGAAGCAGAAUGGUAAGCUAUUUCAAGUUUUGAGAUAAUGUUUACAAAAAGUGACAAAGUGUGUAACUGUUAAUAGCUAUGUUAUGUUGUUGAAUGAAAUGAUUUAUGCAAACA
Molecule: long non-coding RNA, 1544 nt
Organism: Salvia miltiorrhiza (redroot sage)
Lineage: Eukaryota; Viridiplantae; Streptophyta; Magnoliopsida; Lamiales; Lamiaceae
Exons: 4
Source: RefSeq, a predicted model, not a curated record